This 468-nucleotide ribosomal RNA is filed under the name uncultured bacterium. Its description in RNAcentral is "partial 16S ribosomal RNA". It matches the Rfam family "Bacterial small subunit ribosomal RNA", at positions 28 to 507 of the family's 1533-position model. The record is from RNAcentral.
GACGAACGCUGGCGGCGUGCUUAACACAUGCAAGUCGAACGGAAAGGCCCUGCUUUUGUGGGGUGCUCGAGUGGCGAACGGGUGAGUAACACGUGAGUAACCUGCCCUUGACUUUGGGAUAACUUCAGGAAACUGGGGCUAAUACCGGAUAGGAGCUCCUGCUGCAUGGUGGGGGUUGGAAAGUUUCGGCGGUUGGGGAUGGACUCGCGGCUUAUCAGCUUGUUGGUGGGGUAGUGGCUUACCAAGGCUUUGACGGGUAGCCGGCAUGAGAGGGUGACCGGCCACAUUGGGACUAAGAUACGGCCCAGACUCCUACGGGAGGCAGCAGUGGGGAAUAUUGAACAAUGGGCGGAAGCCUGAUGCAGCAACGCCGCGUGCGGGAUGACGGCCUUCGGGUUGUAAACCGCUUUCGCCUGUGACGAAGCGUGAGUGACGGUAAUGGGUAAAGAAGCACCGGCUAACUACGUG